CCAGACUCCUACGGGAGGCAGCAGUGAGGAAUAUUGGUCAAUGGGCUUACGCCUGAACCAGCCAAGUCGCGUGAGGGAAGACUGCCCUAUGGGUUGUAAACCUCUUUUGUCAGGGAGCAAUUGGCACUACGUGUAGCGUUAUCGAGAGUACCUGAAGAAAAAGCAUCGGCUAACUACGUGCCAGCAGCCGCGGUAAUGCGUAGGGAGCGAGCGUUAUCCGGAUUUACUGGGUGUAAAGGGCGUGUAGGCGGGAUGGCAAGUCAGGCGUGAAAACUAUGGGCUCAACCCAUAGCCUGCGUUUGAAACUGUCGUUCUUGAGUGAUGGAGAGGCAAGCGGAAUUCCGUGUGUAGCGGUGAAAUGCGUAGAUAUACGGAGGAACACCAGUGGCGAAGGCGGCUUGCUGGACAUUAACUGACGCUGAGGCGCGAAAGCGUGGGGAGCAAACAGGAUUAGAUACCCGAGUA
Molecule: ribosomal RNA, 465 nt
Filed under: uncultured bacterium
Lineage: Bacteria
Description: bacterial SSU rRNA
Rfam family: Bacterial small subunit ribosomal RNA
Source: RNAcentral